RNAcentral lists this ribosomal RNA (406 nucleotides) under uncultured bacterium. Its description in RNAcentral is "partial 16S ribosomal RNA". It matches the Rfam family "Bacterial small subunit ribosomal RNA", at positions 30 to 526 of the family's 1533-position model. The record is from RNAcentral.
AUUGAACGCUGGCGGCAGGCCUAACACAUGCAAGUCGAACGAGUGGCGGACGGGUGAGUAAUGUCUGGGAAACUGCCUGAUGGAGGGGGAUAACUACUGGAAACGGUAGCUAAUACCGCAUACCAUCAGAUGUGCCCAGAUGGGAUUAGCUUGUUGGUGGGGUAUAGGCUCACCAAGGCGACGAUCCCUAGCUGGGCUGCGAGGAUGACCAGCCACACUGGAACGGAAAAACGGUCCAGACUCCGACGGGAGGCAGCAGUAGGGAAUAUUGCACAAUGGGCGCAAGCCUUAUGCAGCCAUGCCGCGUGUAUGAAGAAGGCCUUCGGGUUGUAAAGUACUUUCGGCGGGGAGGCGUUACCCGGAGAAGAAGCCCCGGCUAACUCCGUGCCAGCAGCCGCGGUAAUAC